UGCGGAAGGAUCAUUACCAAGAACCACACAGAAAAGGGAGGCAAAGGGGCCUACAGGGCUAGUAGCUUAUACGUUGUUGAACGUCCUGCCUGGACCCGGAGCCGCCCCCAUCUAAACCCUCUGCGUACCUGUCCCUUCUUGCUUCCCCCGACAUCUCGUCGGGGGGAGGUAACAACCAAAACUCUCUGUGAAUCAAACAGCCGUCAGAAUUAUAAAACAAACAAAAGUUAAAACUUUCAACAACGGAUCUCUUGGUUCCCACAUCGAUGAAGAACGCAGCGAAAUGCGAUAAGUAAUGUGAAUUGCAGAAUUCAGUGAAUCAUCGAAUCUUUGAACGCACAUUGCGCCCCCUGGUAUUCCGGGGGGCAUGCCUGUUCGAGCGUCAUAAAAACGUCCUCCCCCUUCGGGUUUUGUUACUAUCGUUGGGGGGUUUUGGCCUAAUGGGAUAGCGAUUGGCAAUUCGUUUCCCAAUGUCCUAAAUACACGUAGACCCGCCUCCAGAUGCGACAGCACCGAGGCCAUCAACCGUGGAGUUAUGGGAUAUAAUAGGCUUGCAGUAAAAUGCUCACCUCUCUCCACACGCCGAUGGCACGACAGUUGCAGUUGCGGGCGUAAAUUGGAGCCCUUUUCAGGACCCUUGUGGCCUAGCAUCCACCAUACAUAAUUUGACCUCGGAUCAGGUAGGGAUACCCGCUGAACUUAAGCAU
The sequence is a ribosomal RNA, 707 nucleotides long. The stretch from base 232 to 385 matches the Rfam family "5.8S ribosomal RNA".